RNA transcript from Medicago truncatula (barrel medic), 3017 nucleotides. It is a transcript of the gene named protein YLS7, with no coding region annotated. The record is from RefSeq and is a predicted model, not a curated record. The transcript has 5 exons. Lineage: Eukaryota; Viridiplantae; Streptophyta; Magnoliopsida; Fabales; Fabaceae.
GAGUGAAGAAAGAAGAAUAAAGAAUGUAUAAUUGAAGAGUGUGUCAGUGAGAGUUACUGUAUAACAAAUCUUGCUCCCUGCCACAUGAUGCAUCAUAAAUUUCAUUCAAAUUCCUCAUUGAUACUUCUUAAAGUCUGUAUACACAUUCACUUUCUUGAAAGCUUAGUACACUGUCACGAGGUAGAGCUUUGCCGUCAUUACAGUCUUGUCUGACUCGAGAGAUUAGUAUUUACGGUUGUGCUCAGUCAGUUACAUAUCUGACUCGAACAUGAGUAUUUGCAUUUGAUACUCAUUUGACACUAAAAAUGAAGACCCUUUCUAGUCAGAGCUUGUCAACAUCUAGGUUUGUAUAUGGUGAUUGAUUGUAAUUUGAUAUUGGUACAACUGAACUAUUCAUUGUUUCAAGCUUAUCAAGCACACAAACACCAGAUACGACAGGGACGCUGGCAAUAAUUUGAGAAAUAAAAGUGAUUGUAAGUAUUCAGAACUCAGAAGAUACUACAUGUGAUAGUAUCGUGUUUGUGUCAGACACUGACAGAGUUGGACACACCUUCGAUUUGAAGUGUCAGUGCUACAUAUGUUGCAAGCUUAUAUUGUAUAAAGCUGUGGAGUGGAUUGUUUCUAUAUUUUAGAAAGUUUUCAUGUUCUUCAGGGUUUAGUUUAGUGUGAAAUUUGAAACUAAUAGGGUUAAAUGAAAGGUGUGAUUUGGAGGGUUGCAUCUCCGAAUGGUUCUUCAAAUCUGAAACCACUUUCGCGGAUUAUAUUUUCAAUUGGAGUAGUAGCAGUAUUCAUAACUUUUGCUUCAUGGUUUUUUCUAUCAUACCCUAUUGGUUCAACUGUUCAUGGUUAUUUCAAUGGUGUAGAGAGUUCACAAACUUCUGGUUUAUCAGUCUCUCAGAAAAUCAAUACAACUUCUGUUGAUCUUCACAAGAAUUCAAGUUUAGAUUUAGUAGAUAAUAAAACAGUCAUUGAUCUGCAACCUUCCAUAGUUUCCAGUGGUGUGUUAAGUGAUAAUAGUAGCAAGAUAGAACAAAUUGAUACCAAUUCAAAUUCACAACUACCCUUGAGUGAAUCUGCUUCGCCAAAAAUUGUUCCAGUAACUAAGGAGGCGAGUGCGUUAGAAACUUCUGAUUCGGCUCCAAAAGAACCUAUUCCAAUGGCUAGUACCAAUUCCUCAAUUAUGAAAGGUUGUGAUCUGUACCAUGGAAAUUGGAUAUAUGAUUCAUCGGGACCGUUAUACACAAACAAGUCGUGCCCUGUAUUGACACAGACGCAGAAUUGUCAGGGUAAUGGGAGGCCUGAUAAGGAUUAUGAGAACUGGCGAUGGAAGCCUUUUCAGUGUGACAUCCCGCGAUUUGAUCCGAGGAAGUUUUUGGAUCUUAUGAGAGGCAAGACGUUGGCUUUCAUUGGAGAUUCUGUGGCUCGAAACCAGAUGGAGUCCAUGAUGUGUAUUCUUUGGCAGGUAGAGGAACCAAAAAAUCAGGGAACUCGCAAGAUGCAACGGUAUUAUUUUGAGUCAACAUCUGUAACGAUUGUUCGGAUAUGGUCAUCAUGGCUUGUCAAACACAAUUCAGAACCAUUCGACUUUGCUCCAGCUGGUGUGGAGAAAAUCUAUCUCGAAUCCCCUGAUGAGAUGUUCAUGGAAUUUCUCCCAACAUUUGAUGUGGUUGUUCUUUCAUCUGGUCAUUGGUUUACUAAACAAUCAGUAUACAUCUUGAACAAUGAGAUAGUUGGAGGACAAUUGUGGUGGCCGGACAAGUCUCGGCGUGCGAAGAUCAACAGCGUCGAAGCAUUUGGUAUAUCUGUUGAAACAAUUCUUACUGCUCUUGUUAAGCAUCCAAAUUAUACCGGACUUACAAUUUUGCGUUCCUAUUCGCCCGAUCAUUAUGAGGGUGGAGGAUGGAAUACCGGUGGAUCAUGCACUGGGAAAGUUAAACCUCUUGCACCCGGUGAAUUGGUGGAAAAUAAGUAUCUCGCUUCGAUGUAUGAGCAACAGGUUACAGGUUUUAACCGUGCGGCAAAAAAGGAGACAGAUAGAUCGAAGAUGGUAUUGAUGGAUAUUACUGAAGCGUUUCAAUACCGGCAUGAUGGUCAUCCUGGUCCAUAUAGGAGUACUGAUCCUAACAAAAUUACGAAACGAGGCCGAAAUGGAAGGCCACCACCACAGGAUUGCUUGCACUGGUGCAUGCCGGGACCUGUAGAUGCUUGGAAUGAGAUUGUAUUUGAAAUCAUUAAGAGAGAAUACGAUAGUGAUAACACAUCAUGAGAUUUUUUUUCCUUAACAGCCAAGCUGCAUUCAUCUUCUAAGCUCAAGAGGGCGACUUAUGCAUCAACGCACCUGUCUGAGGAAGGGUAGACUAGUCAAUUUACCUUCUGAUAGAACCAUAUUAUAGAGCAUUUAAUUAGUUUUAAAAGAUUCGUAUGAUAAGUUGUCAGCUCCAUGGUUCUAAAUUGUGGUCCCCUGCUGAAAAAUGCGGAUGCAAUUUUGGUUGUGAUGCCGUUACAGACACCUCUAAAAAAUAAUUUAUGUUGCAGCCUCAGUUAUAGUUGUAGAUCAGAAUUUAGAACUAUGGUUAGCACAUUCCUCAAUUUUCAAGAUCUUCUGCAUGCCUAAUCAGUUCUUGCAGUAAUGAAGAUGGAAGAUUAAUGGAUUGUUGGUAUGCAAGCAUCUCUACACUCAUAUGUAAGAUGCAUUGAGAUUUUGAAGCCUGUGUUUUGAAAUUGGAAUGCCAACAUUCUAAUCGAUGGGAACGCAGAAUCUCCAAAACUGUGGUGUGUGUUUGUUUGUUUUCUUAGAAAAAAUUGUGCUAAAGAGAUCGUAAAUCAUAAUUACCGGAUUAUGUAGUACGCGAAUAUAUCGCAUCCUCCUGAUAUAGUUUAAGCCAAACUAUUAUUGUAACAGGAGCAUUAUGAUGAUGUUUUUCAUAGUCUAGAUUACAAGAUUCAACUCUAUAUAGACAUUUCGGCCGAUCCUAAGUUCGAUUCUUGUGGAAUAAUUUUUGGUUAAGUUGUAGUUA